GAUAAACCAAAAAAAUUAAAAGAGUUUUUAAGCUAAUUUACAAACAUUAUCAAUUGACCUAA
This 62-nucleotide transfer RNA is filed under the name Chroomonas cf. mesostigmatica. The record is from RNAcentral. Lineage: Eukaryota; Cryptophyceae; Pyrenomonadales; Chroomonadaceae.